CGUACCGUGGUUUGGUGCGCAGGAAGGUCAACGACCACGCAGGCGGCGGAGUCGCGGCGGUGAUGAAUUUCGGCGAGAAAUUCCUUGGUCCCGGUCGAUGCUCUGGCCCAAGAAACCUUACCGGCAUCCUCGGGGUGUUACGACGAACAUCGGACGAUCCUGUCACUCCGAUUUCUGUCGUGGUCAGUGGAUAGUGGUGUGGAGGCUCACAGCUCCCCCUCGGUUCCUGUUGACGAUCGACCCCUACCUCGGCGACAUAUGGAAUUGGUUUGGAUUGGAAGGGAAGGGUGCCU
Molecule: long non-coding RNA, 293 nt
Filed under: Zea mays
Lineage: Eukaryota; Viridiplantae; Streptophyta; Magnoliopsida; Poales; Poaceae
Description: long non-coding RNA NONZMAT003821
Source: RNAcentral